UACUCGAGUGGCGAACGGGUGAGUAACACGUGGGUGAUCUGCCCUGCACUUCGGGAUAAGCUUGGAAAACUGGGUCUAAUACCGGAUAGGAGCCAUCUUUAGUGUGGUGGUUGGAAAGUUUUUUCGGUGUAGGAUGAGCUCGCGGCCUAUCAGCUUGUUGGUGGGGUAAUGGCCUACCAAGGCGGCGACGGGUAGCCGGCCUGAGAGGGUGUACGGCCACAUUGGGACUGAGAUACGGCCCAG
Molecule: ribosomal RNA, 243 nt
Filed under: uncultured Actinomycetales bacterium
Lineage: Bacteria; Bacillati; Actinomycetota; Actinomycetes; Actinomycetales
Description: partial 16S ribosomal RNA
Rfam family: Bacterial small subunit ribosomal RNA
Source: RNAcentral